CUGGGACACAGUGUGGGAGCAGUAACACCUGCAGGGAGAACAAAGAGGGUCAAGGAAGGCUUCAUAAAGAAGCCUCAGGCAAGCGCAAGGCUCACAUCAAGUGCAGAUGAAGAGGCUGAAGUGACCGGAGGUCCACAUUGUCCAAGAAUGAGUCUGCUGACUGCACAACUCUCUGCCAGCCUAUCACCAGGGGCUAGCCUAUCACCAGGAGUCUUGAUAAUUGCAAUGCCUUAAGCCAUUAACGAGGAUAAAGAGACCAUUGGAAGACUUUUGCCUAACUAUGGUAAAUAUGAAUCCAACUAAAAAAAAAUCCUGAUGUGCCCCAAACCCAGUCUGACAACCACCCCUACCACCACCAGCUCCCACCAUCUCCAUCUGCUACAGUCAGACUGUCUUCUCCCCUGUAUGUCCCCUGUCUUCAAGCCUUUUCCACACUGGAGUCUCCUGUACCUUCAAUGGUCUCCAUUCACAUCUGUUCUGCCCUUCCCCCCAGCAAAAUAAAUGUCCCUUCUCUUCCAGGAGCUGCUGGGGAAGUCCCCGGCUGACAGCUAGGGCAGCGUUUUUCCAAGCGCGAGGAGCGGACUCCACCUGCACUGAAUCACUCAAGAGCCUCCACUAAGAUGCAAAUGCCUUCCCGUGACCCAGCGAGGCAGAAUCUCCACGGGGUGGGGGUGGGGGGCAGGAGUCUCUAGUUCUAACAAGCUCCCCAGGUGAUUCAGAUCCACACAAAGCACAAAAAUCAGUGAUUUUUCUUGAGUCCUUGCCAAUUGCAGAAGUCCAGCUAGGACGAGAUCUAGAAAAUUCAUGAAAUAAUUUAGCUGAAAGAAACUACACUCCUCAUUUUGUGCCCAGUUAGGACCACCCAGGAGAUCUGGAUCCCCUUCUUACUUUAUACCGAUAAGCUGUAUUGCCUUAGGCAAAUCACUUUCCCUGUCUGGGCCUCAGUUUUCUUACCUGCAAAAGGAAGGCCAGGGCUUGCGGGGGUCCCUGGGGCCAUCCUGUUCUAACAUGCUUGGAAAUCCACAUGGGUUAGGCUGCUUUGUAGGGCUGGCCUGGUGGGAAAGGAGAAUGGGGGUGAGCGCAGAGGUCCUGUCCCUGCCUAGGUAGACAGUUGUUGAUGUCAGAGGGGCACAGAGAUCUCAGGUCAGAUGGGGGUCAAGGUCAGUAUCUAAGUGGCCUGGCCUCCGGGGACUGUGAGGAGCAACUGGAGCAUCUGGGCCAUGGCAGAGUCAGGCCCUGAUCCCUGGGGAGAAGAGGGAGCCCAGAAGGCGGGUCUUAAUGUCAGGGCCCAGGCCCAGGUGAUUGGCUCAGAACUAGGCUCUCGGGCCCUUACGAACAUGAGAAAGCAGACGAGGAGCCUGCAGCAUAGCAGGGAACUCAGCUCAGGGGGCUCCCUGGCAGGAUGGCUCUAUUGCACAGCUCUGAGGCGGUGGGGUGGGGGGUGUGUCUUCCAGAAGACAAUGUACGAGAUGCCCCCUGGAGCUGUGCCACGUGGAGGGACUGGGACCAGGUACCAGGGGCACCCCGGCCACCCUGGAUCCUGAACUUAGGGCAGCAGGACGAGCUCCAGGCCCACCAGCUGCCUUGGCCCACGAGGGCACAGCCAGCAUUGGUGGGGAAGGAUGUUUCCCCACCCCUCCUGGUUGGGAACUGGAGGCCUGAGCUCAGCCCUG
This is a long non-coding RNA of Dama dama (fallow deer), 1673 nucleotides long. RefSeq lists it as uncharacterized. The transcript is spliced from 3 exons. The record is from RefSeq and is a predicted model, not a curated record. NCBI's taxonomy places the organism in Eukaryota, Metazoa, Chordata, Mammalia, Artiodactyla, Cervidae.